UCCUCGGUAAAUUGAGAAUCUUUAUGCAAAAUUUCAAGUCAUUCCCAGGUAGCACACCUACGUGUUUCCAACGUUGAAAUUUGGUUGUUGAGGUCGAAUAACCGUUAGCGGUUGAAUUUUUCAACGUUUUAAAUGCAACGUUGUUUUCAACGGUUGCUCUCUCAUUGAAAACACGUUGAAAACGAGCUUCCAAUUCCACCACUCACAGCGCUACAGUAGUCCUUAUACAAAAAUGGAUCUAGCAACUCUCGUCAACGAGGAUCGACGUCAUUUCAUGUUUGAAUUCUCAUCACGUUGAUGAAAGCUGUGAACUCUUUUAGAAGUGUCUACCCAUUCCACUUUGACUUGAUUCUAUCAAAAAAUCUUGUGGGUCGACUGUGGGCAUUGAGACCCAAAUUGAAGACGCUAUUAAGGAUUGGCUAAAAUAUGCGACAGUCAAAGUAUUUUCAGCGGA
RNAcentral lists this long non-coding RNA (454 nucleotides) under Nilaparvata lugens (brown planthopper). RNAcentral describes it as "uncharacterized LOC120353847". The record is from RNAcentral. Lineage: Eukaryota; Metazoa; Arthropoda; Insecta; Hemiptera; Delphacidae.